AUGGCCGCACGGAGAGCGGCGGCGCUUCAGGUAACCGAGCCCCCCGUCCCUCUGAAAUCUCCUCUAUGGUUAUGGUUUUGCUCGGCGCGGAUCGGGACUGACGGAUGGGUCUGGUUCCUUCCUUCCUUCCUGCAGGUGGCGGUGGCGGUGGUGGCGCUGGCGCUGUGCGCGGCGGGGGGCGCGGGGUGCCGGAAGCACGUGCGGAGGGUCACGGAGUACGGGGCGGUGGGGGACGAUAGGACGCUCAACACGGCGGCGUUCGCCAGCGCCGUGGCGGACCUGGGCAGGCGCGCGGGCGACGGCGGCGCGGCGCUGGUGGUGCCGGAGGGGCGGUGGCUCACGGGGCCCUUCAACCUCACCAGCCACUUCACCCUCUUCCUCCACUACGGCGCCGAGAUCCUCGCAUCCCAGGACCUGGACGACUGGCCGCUGAUAGCGCCGCUGCCGUCCUACGGGAGGGGGAGGGACGAGCCCGGCCCGAGGUACAGCAACUUCAUCGGCGGAUCCAACCUCACCGAUGUCAUCAUCUCCGGUCACAAUGGCACCAUCAACGGGCAGGGGCAGGUGUGGUGGGACAAGUUCCACGCCAAGGAGCUCCACUACACGCGCGGCUACCUGCUCGAGCUCCUCUACUCCCGCGACAUCAUCAUCUCCAACGUCACCUUCGUCGACGCGCCCUCCUGGAACCUCCACCCCACCUACUGCACCAAUGUGACCAUCAGCGGUGUCACGAUUCUCGCGCCGGUCCACUCGCCAAACACCGACGGGAUCGACCCAGAUUCUUCGUCUCAUGUCAAGAUCGAGGACUGCUACAUCGUGUCCGGCGACGACUGCAUCGCGGUGAAGAGCGGCUGGGACGAAUACGGCAUUAAGUUCAACAUGCCCAGCCAGCACAUCGUCGUCAGGAGGCUCACCUGCAUCUCCCCGACGAGCGCCAUGAUCGCGCUCGGCAGCGAGAUGUCGGGCGGCAUCCAGGACGUGCGCGUGGAGGACAACAUUGCCAUCAACACUGAGUCGGCCGUCAGGAUCAAGUCCGGCGUGGGGAGGGGCGGCUUCGUCAGGGACGUCUUCGUGCGCCGCCUCAGCCUCCACACCAUGAAGUGGGUCUUCUGGAUGACCGGCAACUACGGCCAGCACCCCGACAACUCGUCCGACCCCAAGGCGCUGCCGGAGGUCACCGGCAUCAACUACCGCGACGUGUUCGCCGAGAACGUGACCAUGGCCGGCAGGAUGGAGGGCAUCCCCAACGACCCCUACACCGGGAUAUGCAUGUCCAACGUCACCGCACAGCUCGCUCCGAAGGCCAAGAAGCUGCAAUGGAACUGCACUGAUGUCCAAGGAGUGGCAUACGGCGUCUCGCCGGAGCCAUGCCCGGAGCUUGGGGCAGAGGGCAAGCCCUGCACAUUCCCGGAGGAAGAGCUCGUCAUCGGUCCGCCUGAACUGCCCAAAUGUACCUACUGA
This 1461-nucleotide ribosomal RNA is filed under the name Triticum aestivum (bread wheat). RNAcentral describes it as "partial small subunit ribosomal RNA". The record is from RNAcentral. Lineage: Eukaryota; Viridiplantae; Streptophyta; Magnoliopsida; Poales; Poaceae.